AUUGAACGCUGGCGGCAUGCCUUACACAUGCAAGUCGAACGGUAACAGGUCUUCGGAUGCUGACGAGUGGCGAACGGGUGAGUAAUACAUCGGAACGUGCCCGAUCGUGGGGGAUAACGAGGCGAAAGCUUUGCUAAUACCGCAUACGAUCUACGGAUGAAAGCGGGGGAUCUUCGGACCUCGCGCGGACGGAGCGGCCGAUGGCAGAUUAGGUAGUUGGUGGGAUAAAAGCUUACCAAGCCGACGAUCUGUAGCUGGUCUGAGAGGAUGAUCAGCCACAUUGGGACGGAGACAGGGCCCAGAUUCCUACGGGAGGCAGCAGUGGGGAAUUUUGGACAAUGGCGAAAGCCUGAUCCAGCCAUGCCGCGUGCAGGAUGAAGGCCUUCGGGUUGUAAACUGCUUUUGUACGGAACGAAAAGCCUCUUUCUAAUAAAGAGGGGUCAUGACGGUACCGUAAGAAUAAGCACCGGCUAACUACGUG
Molecule: ribosomal RNA, 481 nt
Filed under: uncultured bacterium
Lineage: Bacteria
Description: partial 16S ribosomal RNA
Rfam family: Bacterial small subunit ribosomal RNA
Source: RNAcentral